CACGUAGGAGGCGAGCGUUGUCCGGAAUCAUUGGGCGUAAAGAGCGCGCAGGCGGCUUGGCAAGUCGGGUGUGAAAUCUCGGAGCUUAACUCCGAAACUGCAUUCGAUACUGCCGUGCUUGAGGACUGGAGAGGAGACUGGAAUUUACGGUGUAGCGGUGAAAUGCGUAGAUAUCGUAAGGAAGACCAGUGGCGAAGGCGGGUCUCUGGACAGUUCCUGACGCUGAGGCACGAAGGUCAGGGGAGCAAACGGG
Molecule: ribosomal RNA, 253 nt
Filed under: uncultured bacterium
Lineage: Bacteria
Description: partial 16S ribosomal RNA
Rfam family: Bacterial small subunit ribosomal RNA
Source: RNAcentral